This 274-nucleotide ribosomal RNA is filed under the name uncultured bacterium. Its description in RNAcentral is "partial 16S ribosomal RNA". It matches the Rfam family "Bacterial small subunit ribosomal RNA", at positions 523 to 796 of the family's 1533-position model. The record is from RNAcentral.
CUACGGAGGGUGCAAGCGUUACUCGGAAUCACUGGGCGUAAAGCGCGCGCAGGCGGUCUUUUAAGUUGGAUGUGAAGGCCUACGGCUCAACCGUAGAACUGCAUCCAAAACUAUUAGACUAGAGUGUGGGAGAGGAAGAUGGAAUUAGUUGUGUAGGGGUAAAAUCCGUAGAGAUAACUAGGAAUACCAAAAGCGAAGGCAAUCUUCUGGAACACUACUGACGCUGAGGCGCGAAAGCGUGGGGAGCAAACAGGAUUAGAAACCCUAGUAGUCC